RNAcentral lists this ribosomal RNA (1262 nucleotides) under Acinetobacter schindleri. Its description in RNAcentral is "bacterial SSU rRNA". It matches the Rfam family "Bacterial small subunit ribosomal RNA", at positions 93 to 1350 of the family's 1533-position model. The record is from RNAcentral. Lineage: Bacteria; Pseudomonadati; Pseudomonadota; Gammaproteobacteria; Moraxellales; Moraxellaceae.
UAGCGGCGGACGGGUGAGUAAUGCUUAGGAAUCUGCCUAUUAGUGGGGGACAACAUUCCGAAAGGAAUGCUAAUACCGCAUACGUCCUACGGGGGAAAGCAGGGGAUCUUCGGACCUUGCGCUAAUAGAUGAGCCUAAGUCGGAUUAGCUAGUUGGUGGGGUAAAGGCCUACCAAGGCGACGAUCUGUAGCGGGUCUGAGAGGAUGAUCCGCCACACUGGGACUGAGACACGGCCCAGACUCCUACGGGAGGCAGCAGUGGGGAAUAUUGGACAAUGGGCGGAAGCCUGAUCCAGCCAUGCCGCGUGUGUGAAGAAGGCCUUUUGGUUGUAAAGCACUUUAAGCGAGGAGGAGGAGCUUCUGGUUAAUACCCAGGAUGCUUGGACGUUACUCGCAGAAUAAGCACCGGCUAACUCUGUGCCAGCAGCCGCGGUAAUACAGAGGGUGCGAGCGUUAAUCGGAUUUACUGGGCGUAAAGCGUGCGUAGGCGGCUUUUUAAGUCGGAUGUGAAAUCCCUGAGCUUAACUUAGGAAUUGCAUUCGAUACUGGAAAGCUAGAGUAUGGGAGAGGAUGGUAGAAUUCCAGGUGUAGCGGUGAAAUGCGUAGAGAUCUGGAGGAAUACCGAUGGCGAAGGCAGCCAUCUGGCCUAAUACUGACGCUGAGGUACGAAAGCAUGGGGAGCAAACAGGAUUAGAUACCCUGGUAGUCCAUGCCGUAAACGAUGUCUACUAGCCGUUGGGGCCUUUGAGGCUUUAGUGGCGCAGCUAACGCGAUAAGUAGACCGCCUGGGGAGUACGGUCGCAAGACUAAAACUCAAAUGAAUUGACGGGGGCCCGCACAAGCGGUGGAGCAUGUGGUUUAAUUCGAUGCAACGCGAAGAACCUUACCUGGCCUUGACAUACUAAGAACUUUCCAGAGAUGGAUUGGUGCCUUCGGGAACUUAGAUACAGGUGCUGCAUGGCUGUCGUCAGCUCGUGUCGUGAGAUGUUGGGUUAAGUCCCGCAACGAGCGCAACCCUUUUCCUUAUUUGCCAGCGGGUUAAGCCGGGAACUUUAAGGAUACUGCCAGUGACAAACUGGAGGAAGGCGGGGACGACGUCAAGUCAUCAUGGCCCUUACGGCCAGGGCUACACACGUGCUACAAUGGUCGGUACAAAGGGUUGCUACCUCGCGAGAGGAUGCUAAUCUCAAAAAGCCGAUCGUAGUCCGGAUCGCAGUCUGCAACUCGACUGCGUGAAGUCGGAAUCGCUAGUAAUCGCGGAUC